AACGAACGCUGGCGGCAUGCCUAACACAUGCAAGUCGAACGGAUGUAGCAAUACAUUAGUGGCGCACGGGAUAGUAACGCGUGGGAAUCUGCCUCAUAGUUCGGAAUAACACCGGGAAACUGGUGCUAAUACCGGAUACGCCCUUCGGGGGAAAGUUUUUCGCUAUGAGAGGAGCCCGCGUUGGAUUAGCUAGUUGGUGAGGUAAUGGCUCACCAAGGCGACGAUCCAUAGCUGGUCUGAGAGGACGAUCAGCAUCACUGGGACUGAGACACGGCCCAGACUCCUACGGGAGGCAGCAGUGGGGAAUAUUGGACAAUGGGGGAAACCCUGAUCCAGCAAUGCCGCGUGGGUGAUGAAGGUCUUCGGAUUGUAAAGCCCUUUUGGCAGGGACGAUGAUGACGGUACCUGCAGAAUAAGCUCCGGCUAACUUCGUGCCAGCAGCCGCAGUAA
This 450-nucleotide ribosomal RNA is filed under the name uncultured bacterium. RNAcentral's name for it is "partial 16S ribosomal RNA". It matches the Rfam family "Bacterial small subunit ribosomal RNA", at positions 29 to 523 of the family's 1533-position model. The record is from RNAcentral.